Molecule: ribosomal RNA, 468 nt
Filed under: uncultured bacterium
Lineage: Bacteria
Description: partial 16S ribosomal RNA
Rfam family: Bacterial small subunit ribosomal RNA
Source: RNAcentral
GACGAACGCUGGCGGCGUGCUUAACACAUGCAAGUCGAACGGAAAGGCGCUGCUUUUGUGUGGUGCUCGCGUGGCGAACGGGUGAGUAACACGUGAGUAACCUGCCCAUGACGUGGGGAUAACUUCAGGAAACUGGGGCUAAUACCGGAUAGGAGCUCCUGCUGCAUGGUGGGGGUUGGAAAGUUUCGGUGGUUGGGGAUGGACGGUGGGCUUAUGAGCUUGUUGGUGGGGUAGUGGCUAACCAAGGCUUUGACUGCUAGCCGGCCUGAGAGGGUGACCGGGCACCUUGGUACUGCGAUACGGCCCAGACGCGUACGGGAGGCAGCAGUGGGGAAUAUUGUACAAUGGGCGGAAGCCUGAUGCAGCAGUGCCGCGUGCGGGAUGAAGGCCUUCGGGUGGUAAACCGCUUUCGCCUGUGACGAAGCGGGAGUGACGGUAAUGGGUAAAGAAGCACCGGCUAACUACGUG